AUGCACGCUCUCAGCGAUCUGCCCGAUGACGUGUUGGUGGAGAUCGUCGUCCGCCUGCCAGCCCACUCCAUCGCCCGCUGCCGCGCCGUCUGCAGGGCCUGGCGUUCUGCCAUCUCCCACGCCACCUUCGACAUGGCCCUCGCCAGACGCCCGGCCGCCGUCGCCACGGUGACGGCUGAUCGUCUGGGGUUCGAAUUCCACACCGAUUACGCCUACGCCUUGGAAGGCACAACGCCAACGCUUGUCAGCAGGACCCGCGUCGUCUUCGACUUAUUCCUCCGCUGGCGCCGCCGACCGCCAUGUCCGCUGGAAGUCCGGCUCAUAUCCGACUCGCGUUCCAGCAUCGUUACGACCGUCCGUGGUUCGUGGGACGGGGUGCUGUGCAUAGAGCGCGGGGUCUGGAAGUGGAAGCCGCGGCCGUUGCGCUACCACGUGGAGCAGUACUUGCUCUGGAAUCCAGUCACCAAGGCCUGCGCCACCGUGUGCCCCCCGGCCGACCGCGGAAAGAUCAUUGGCGCCUACGCGCACCCGACCACACGGGCCUUCCACCUCGUCCACGGUUCCGGCGAAGUUGUAAACGAUCACCUGAUGGCCCCGACGACCUUCUUGAUCGGAAGGGUUGGAGACGAUAUGGCCUGGCGUGAGAUUCCCCUCGAGGAAGCAAGCCCCACGGAUGAUGCGCGGCCAUCAAAGAUCUUUAUAAGCAGCAACCGCAACGCCCGCUGCGUCGGGUUACGCGGCAACUUGCACUGGCUGGCACUGUCGGGCUCGGGAACGCUGCGUAUCCUCGCGUUCGACACGUCGUCACAGGAUAGGUUCCGGCAGAUAGAGGCGCCGGAGCUCGGGCGUGGACCAGCGGACCUAACCAAGGUGCGACUGGGUACGCGGUCCGGUAGCAAGCUCUGCAUCUUCUCUGUGGCUCCAUCGAUGAGCAGCAUGGACGUGUGGGUGCUCGACGGCUACUGCGCCACCGUGCGGCGGAGCAGCUGGCGGCGCAAAGAACGGAUCAGUUUUGUGUCAAGCUGGACGUUCAACGCGGCCACGGAGGUGGAGGUGGAGGUGGUGGAGGGCGUUGGGGAGGGCGAGGAGAUUUUCCUCCACUUUGAGACCUGGAUCGGCGUCUACAACAUUCGAUGCAAGACGUGGCGCCGCGUCAUGGAGGUUCCCGGGUUGAUUACUUUAGGGUCUCAUGUGUCGCUGGUGAUGCACAGGGAGAGCGCUCUGCAGCACGAGGUGAGCUUUGGCGACGCGUCGCGGGCUGUUUCUUGGAGGGUCGACAGCGACGGGACGCAUCGCUACAAUGUGGCAUAG
RNAcentral lists this ribosomal RNA (1311 nucleotides) under Triticum aestivum (bread wheat). Its description in RNAcentral is "partial small subunit ribosomal RNA". Lineage: Eukaryota; Viridiplantae; Streptophyta; Magnoliopsida; Poales; Poaceae. The record is from RNAcentral.